This is a long non-coding RNA of Melanotaenia boesemani (Boeseman's rainbowfish), 805 nucleotides long. RefSeq lists it as uncharacterized. The record is from RefSeq and is a predicted model, not a curated record. The transcript has 3 exons. NCBI's taxonomy places the organism in Eukaryota, Metazoa, Chordata, Actinopteri, Atheriniformes, Melanotaeniidae.
UCCGGUUUGAAUCCAUGCUUUCAAGUUAUUUCCUGACCAUCUGAAUGUGGAGCUGAAAUGGAGACUCAUCAGACCAGACAUUUUUCCAUCUUCUAUCGUCCUGUUUUGGUCUGGCUUCACCCCCUCUUCGCUGACAUCCCCCACAAAGAACUAAUCAGAACCAGGUCUUUGAUUGUAUUGUGAUGCCGCUGGUUAUCCCCAUCCACCUCCUUUUUUUUGGCCAUAGUUGGUACCUCUAGCACACCCAUCUAUAGGUGACAUCUGACUCGAGUCAGUUGUCACCUAUAGAUGUGUUUGCAGUGUUGAGAGGAACCGGUUUGAUGGUCUAAGGACUGGGUCUCUGCUUUUUGCAGAUGACAUUGUUCUGUUGGCUUCAUAGGGCCAUGGUCUCUAACUCUCACAUGAGCAAUUUGUGGACGAGGUUGGGGUGAAAAUCAGCACCUUCAAAUCCAAGACUGAUUCUCAUCUGGAAAAGGUGGAGCGUCCUCCCCAGGUCAAGAAUGAUACCCUGGCUCAAGCAAAGGAUGUUCAAGUAUCUCAGGAUCUUGCUGACGAGUGAGGGGAGGGUGGAGCGGGAGAAUAACAGGUGGAGCGGCCUGCAGUGACGUGAACGCUUCAUCAGUCUAUCAUAGUGAUGAUAGAGCUGAGCUGAAAGGUGAAGCUGUGGUGUGGUGGAGGGACUACAGUAUGUCUCGCAGAAGAAGUUGCCUGGGACAGGGAAGUCUGGGCUUCUCUGCUAAGGCUGCUGCCCCUGCAACCCAACCUUGGAAAAGCAGCAGGAAUGGAUGGAUGGAUGGAUGGAUGG